GGGUGUAGUAUGCAUGUGUGCAUGUGUAUGUUUUACGGGUAUGUGCAUUUAAGGAGUGUGUGCACAACUAGCAUGCA
RNAcentral lists this microRNA precursor (77 nucleotides) under Choloepus hoffmanni (Hoffmann's two-fingered sloth). Its description in RNAcentral is "miRNA (ENSCHOG00000014479.1)". Lineage: Eukaryota; Metazoa; Chordata; Mammalia; Pilosa; Megalonychidae. The record is from RNAcentral.